This 720-nucleotide ribosomal RNA is filed under the name uncultured bacterium. Its description in RNAcentral is "bacterial SSU rRNA". It matches the Rfam family "Bacterial small subunit ribosomal RNA", at positions 678 to 1397 of the family's 1533-position model. The record is from RNAcentral.
GCGGUGAAAUGCGUAGAGAUCUGAAGGAAUACCGGUGGCGAAGGCGGCCCCCUGGACAGAUACUGACACUCAGAUGCGAAAGCGUGGGGAGCAAACAGGAUUAGAUACCCUGGUAGUCCACGCCGUAAACGAUGUCUACUUGGAGGUUGUGGCCUUGAGCCGUGGCUUUCGGAGCUAACGCGUUAAGUAGACCGCCUGGGGAGUACGGUCGCAAGAUUAAAACUCAAAUGAAUUGACGGGGGCCCGCACAAGCGGUGGAGCAUGUGGUUUAAUUCGAUGCAACGCGAAGAACCUUACCUACUCUUGACAUCCAGAGAACUUUCCAGAGAUGGAUUGGUGCCUUCGGGAACUCUGAGACAGGUGCUGCAUGGCUGUCGUCAGCUCGUGUUGUGAAAUGUUGGGUUAAGUCCCGCAACGAGCGCAACCCUUAUCCUUGUUUGCCAGCGAGUAAUGUCGGGAACUCCAGGGAGACUGCCGGUGAUAAACCGGAGGAAGGCGGGGACGACGUCAAGUCAUCAUGGCCCUUACGAGUAGGGCUACACACGUGCUACAAUGGCGCAUACAGAGGGCGGCCAACUUGCGAAAGUGAGCGAAUCCCAAAAAGUGCGUCGUAGUCCGGAUUGGAGUCUGCAACUCGACUCCAUGAAGUCGGAAUCGCUAGUAAUCGUGGAUCAGAUUGCCACGGUGAAUACGUUCCCGGGCCUUGUACACACCGCCCGU